UCUCUGAUUUAACUGUAUCACUGCUUCCAUAAAUUAUAUAAAUAGCAUUUGCAUCAAUAGUGCUCGCGAUUAAAAUGAAUUUGGGUUGUAGCUUAAUGCAUUGCAAUAUAUAAGGAUGGAUUUUGAUGAGUUUGUGCAGCCACACUCAGUGUUCAUCAACUUGAAGCACUUGACCAAUGGGAGCAACAUGCACAGUGUGCCUAUGAACAUUUUGAAAAGGACGGAAACAGCUCUAUAAUCAUUGAAGAACUAGCUUUGGUAUGCUUAAUUUUACCAUGGUCAUAGCUUAUGCAUACAUAUCGUUAUACAAAUAAUAUGAACAUGCUGAUGAACAUUUUGAUGAUGCUGUAAAGCGUAUUGAUUUAGCCACACCCGUUAUGGCGUACAGGUUUGUUAAUUAUUAGUAAAAAUGAAAGCAUGACGUGUUGCUAGAUUUUUGCUCAUAUUUAUUUAGAAAUGAUUCAAACUCAUUAUGUCAUGCCAUAUUGGUUGGCUUGACAUUUUCCUGAUCUGCAUUUGACAUUGCAUCCAUUUACAUGUGCGCAUUGAAUUUUUGUUGCACAAGGUUUGGUAUUAAUGAUGGGAAACUUUUGUGGUGCUCAUACUACCAAAAUUUGGUUGGGGUAUGGAGAACAAAUAUAUCGGUAGGAUUAUCUUUCCCGAUCUGUUAUUUCCAGUGCACUUUACUGGGGUUUUGAGUGCUAAAUUCAUGAUUUUCAAUUGAGAAGUUACAUGUUUUAUUUAUUAAUUGCUCUAGAAAAUAAUAAAGAAAUAGAUUUGCGUUUUGAUAUGAUAUAAUUUUAAAUUCUAUGACAUAUAGAGAAGAAAGAAUAAACCUUUGUAUGUUAUAUCCAUUUCAUUUUGACAAAUUAGAUCCAACACUAAAAGGAUAAAGUGUGAUGGAAUUCAAAGGUCCCAAGAACAAAGUUCAUCCAUUCCUAUUCACCUACUUCUCUGAAUUUGGUUUAUUCCAAUGCACCGGAUGGGAAUGAAUCAUUGGCUUUGGACGUGGGAAGCAUGGGGAAGAUACUGGAUGGCUUAUGGAAAUGGUGGGUGCAAUUCUUACAGAUAUCCUGAGUUGAUUCCACUUUGCUAUAAAGUGCCAACUCAUGGGAAGCAAAAGGUGAUGAUUUGGAAAGUUGACAGGAGGAAUGGGCUGCGGUAGCAGAUUCAUGCCAGAUUGACUGCGGCCGCAGCAAGGGUCAAGGACUUAGAAGGUUUCAUUAAUUUUUGAUAGUUGUCUUUUUAACUGUUAUGAAUGUUUAAAGUAUGUGUUGAGAUAGUUAUAUUCAGAGCAUGAGUGCUCAAAUUCAAUUUGGAACACUUAUGUGGCAUUAAAUAAACAUUUGUGUAUGUCUUUUUAACAUUAGUUGUAUUUGUUGUUUGAAAAGAUAUGAGAUUGGAACAAAUGGUGAUGGAAUUGGAAAAAGGAAAUAAAAAUGGAUCAGACAUUGAGACAUGGAUUUCAUGUUCAAUUAAUGAUCCUUGAAUCAAGGGUUAAGGAUGUACUUGGAUUUAAAGAUAUAUCAAAGUUUAAAAUUAAAAUAUUUCAGUCUGUCAUUUUUUAUCAUGAACAAAUAUCUAAUCUAUAGUUGUUUGUAAGACCGGUUUCUUAUUGCUUUUUCUUUUUUUUUUCCCUAACAUUUUUUACCAUAAAAUUAAAAUAUUUCUGUCUUUAUCUUUGUUGCAAACUGCUACAUCUUGAUGUGAAUGGAUUUUUGUGAGUUUUGUGUUGAGAUCAUGUGCAAGUAUGAUACUGUGUUCCUUCUCUAUUAUUGAUCUUUGGCCAAUGCUUGAUUUAGAUUUGUUUUUAUAUUGUGCUCUCUUUUUUUUUAUUUGUUUUAUUUUCACUCUCAAAGGAGUCCCAGAUAAAAAGGCAAACUAUUUUGUGUAAGUUUCUGCAAUUGAAAAGUUUCACUGCUACAAAUUUAUGUGUUUUAUUUUUGCUCUCACCUUUUUAUGUCAGUUAAGUACAUCAUCUAAACCUAUAUUAAAAAGUGAUAAUUUAUUAGCUAAUAUUCCUCUUUCUCUCUUUUCAUAUAUAUAUAUAUAUAUGCUUUGUGUUAGUCUCAAUUGGUUCAUUCCUUUUUUCUAAUAUUUUUUUCAUCUUCGUGAAUUGUUUAAAAGGCUAUGCAUUCAGUGC
This is a long non-coding RNA of Arachis stenosperma, 2143 nucleotides long. RefSeq lists it as uncharacterized. The record is from RefSeq and is a predicted model, not a curated record. NCBI's taxonomy places the organism in Eukaryota, Viridiplantae, Streptophyta, Magnoliopsida, Fabales, Fabaceae. The transcript is spliced from 3 exons.